GACGAACGCUGGCGGCGUGCUUAACACAUGCAAGUCGAGCGGUAAGGCCCUUUUGGGGGUACACGAGCGGCGAACGGGUGAGUAACACGUGGGUGACCUGCCCUCAGCUCUGGGAUAAGCCUGGGAAACUGGGUCUAAUACUGGAUAUGACCUUUCCUCGCAUGGGGUUGGGUGGAAAGUUUUUUCGGCUGGGGAUGGGCCCGCGGCCUAUCAGCUUGUUGGUGGGGUGAUGGCCUACCAAGGCGACGACGGGUAGCCGGCCUGAGAGGCGACCGGCCACACUGGGACUGAGACACGGCCCAGACUCCUACGGGAGGCAGCAGUGGGAAUAUUGCGCAAUGGGCGGAAGCCUGACGCAGCGACGCCGCGUGGGGAUGACGGCCUUCGG
RNAcentral lists this ribosomal RNA (388 nucleotides) under uncultured bacterium. Its description in RNAcentral is "bacterial SSU rRNA". It matches the Rfam family "Bacterial small subunit ribosomal RNA", at positions 28 to 421 of the family's 1533-position model. The record is from RNAcentral.